RNAcentral lists this non-coding RNA (21 nucleotides) under Caenorhabditis elegans. The record is from RNAcentral. Lineage: Eukaryota; Metazoa; Nematoda; Chromadorea; Rhabditida; Rhabditidae.
UAAUUUGACCAUCAUCUUUCC